Molecule: ribosomal RNA, 431 nt
Filed under: uncultured bacterium
Lineage: Bacteria
Description: partial 16S ribosomal RNA
Rfam family: Bacterial small subunit ribosomal RNA
Source: RNAcentral
AGCGAACGCUGGCGGCAGGCUUAACACAUGCAAGUCGAGCGCCCCGCCAGGGGAGCGGCAGACGGGAGAGUAACACGUGGGAACAUACCUUUUGGUUCGGAACAACUGAGGGAAACUUCAGCUAAUACCGGAUAAGCCCUUACGGGGAAAGAUUUAUCGCCGAAAGAUUGGCCCGCGUCUGAUUAGCUAGUUGGUGAGGUAACGGCUCACCAAGGCGGCGAUCAGUAGCUGGUCUGAGAGGAUGAUCAGCCUCACUGGGACUGAGACACGGCCCAGACUCCUACGGGAGGCAGCAGUGGGGAAUAUUGGACAAUGGGGGCAACCCUGAUCCAGCCAUGCCGCGUGAGUGAUGAAGGCCUUAGGGUUGUAAAGCUCUUUUGCCCGGGAAGAUAAUGACGGUACCGGGAGAAUAAGCCCCGGCUAACUUCGUG